AUACGUAGGUGACAAGCGUUAUCCGGAUUUACUGGGCGUAAAGGGCGUGUAGGCGGUCUUGCAAGUCAGAAGUGAAAUUCCUGAGCUCAACUCGGGCGCUGCUUCUGAAACUGCAGGACUUGAGUGCUGGAGGGGAUAGCGGAAUUCCUAGUGGAGCGGUAAAAUGCGCAGAUAUUAGGAAGAACACCGGUGGCGAAGGCGGCUAUCUGGACAGUAACUGACGCUGAGGCGCGAAAGCGUGGGGAGCAAACAGGAUUAGAUACCCUGGUAGUCCACGCAGUAAACGAUGAUGGCUAACCGCUGGGCUUAUCAGUUCAGUGGCCAAGCGAAAGCGAUAAGCCAUCCACCUGGGGAGUACGACCGCAAGGUUGAAACUCAAAUGAAUUGGCGGGG
RNAcentral lists this ribosomal RNA (393 nucleotides) under uncultured bacterium. RNAcentral's name for it is "partial 16S ribosomal RNA". It matches the Rfam family "Bacterial small subunit ribosomal RNA", at positions 523 to 918 of the family's 1533-position model. The record is from RNAcentral.